Molecule: ribosomal RNA, 427 nt
Filed under: uncultured bacterium
Lineage: Bacteria
Description: partial 16S ribosomal RNA
Rfam family: Bacterial small subunit ribosomal RNA
Source: RNAcentral
UGGGGAAUAUUGGACAAUGGGCGAAAGCCUGAUCCAGCCAUGCCGCGUGUGUGAAGAAGGUCUUCGGAUUGUAAAGCACUUUAAGUUGGGAGGAAGGGCAUUAACCUAAUACGUUAGUGUUUUGACGUUACCGACAGAAUAAGCACCGGCUAACUCUGUGCCAGCAGCCGCGGUAAUACAGAGGGUGCAAGCGUUAAUCGGAAUUACUGGGCGUAAAGCGCGCGUAGGUGGUUUGUUAAGUUGGAUGUGAAAUCCCCGGGCUAAACCUGGGAACUGCAUUCAAAACUGACUGACUAGAGUAUGGUAGAGGGUGGUGGAAUUUCCUGUGUAGCGGUGAAAUGCGUAGAUAUAGGAAGGAACACCAGUGGCGAAGGCGACCACCUAGACUAAUACUGACACUGAGGUGCGAAAGCGUGGGGAGCAAACA